Molecule: long non-coding RNA, 1187 nt
Filed under: Lepidothrix coronata (blue-crowned manakin)
Lineage: Eukaryota; Metazoa; Chordata; Aves; Passeriformes; Pipridae
Description: lncRNA (ENSLCOG00000004807.1)
Source: RNAcentral
GUGGGAGCAUCAGUCUCACUCUGUGCCUUUUUUUUCCUUUUUUUUUUUUUUUUUUUUUUUUUUUUUUUUUUUUUUUUUUUUUUUUUUUUUUUUUUCCCAGUGAAAACAGCAUCUGUGUGCACAGAAGGGCAGGGUUCAGUUUUUGCUGUACUCUGUAAAAAUCAGGACAGGGAAGGAGUGGAUGGAAAUGGACACUGUACCACAGUCAGCCCAAGGAAUGUGUUGCCUCGGAGCUCUUGGAUCCGUGUCCUGGACCACUAUUCCCAUUUAAUUGGAAAAAGCUGCUUUUUGCAGCAGCUCAGGUAGCCUGGAGCAGAUCCCUGGGAGCCUCCACCGCAGGAGAGCUGCAAACACAGCCCUUGGAGCUGAGUCAGCUGCAAAGUCUGGGCAGCUGGGACACAUCCCGGGAGAUCAGUGGCCCUAAGGAUCGGGAUAAAACUCGGUGAAUGGCAGCAGAAGAGCUGGGAAUGCCAGCUGUGCUCGGCCACACGGGAGGGAGUUUCCGAGCAGGUUGCCAAGCAAGGAUCAGAAAUGGGGACUAACUUGUGUUUUGUAUCCAGUAGCGUAUUUUAUUCCCUUGCACAAUUUUAGGCUGGUUUAAAUGACUAAAUACUCCUGGCCUGACUUAACCAAGUCCAGCUCAGUAAGCUGGAAAAGCCAAAGGCAGAGCAAUGAGUGCUGGAACAGCUCAGGGAAGCAGCCGGUGACAGCAUCAGCUAACUCCUGACAGAUACAUUUUGUGAAACACGUUUGUAUCCAAGGUGUUCCUGGAUGUACACUGUGACCAUGAGAUACUGAGGGCUGUGGGAAAGUAUCUGCCACCAGGGCUGGGUUUUUGGGGACGAGCUUGGAGGAUUUCAGGGGGCCAAAAGCCUUGAAAGAGUUGGCCAGCUUGCAGUUUAGAAAGUGAUGGUUUUUGGCUUGUUUGAUUUGGAUUUACAAAAGUAUUAACAUUUCCUGUGCUUUUUUUAGUAGUUUCUGAGACGUUUAAAUGCUCUUCAGCUUUAUAGAGUAGUAAACAAUUGCACAGUAAUCAAUAGCCUGUUUUUUAAAUCCAGUUUUACUUCGCUUUUUAAACCUUUCUGACGAUAACCAGUUGUUCUUGCUUGCACUGCUUCUAAGGUUGUUGGUUUUGUAUCCCUUGACACCCUGCAAGUGCAUAAAAACUGUUUUUACCCCUUUUUGAC